Molecule: long non-coding RNA, 177 nt
Organism: Herpailurus yagouaroundi (jaguarundi)
Lineage: Eukaryota; Metazoa; Chordata; Mammalia; Carnivora; Felidae
Exons: 3
Source: RefSeq, a predicted model, not a curated record
GAACGUGAGCAGGUGAGGUACAGAGAGAGAGGGAGACAGAGUCCGAGGCAGGCUCCAGGCCCUGAGCUGUCAGCACAGAGCCGUGUGUGAGGCUAGAACCCAUAAACUGCAAAACCAUGUCCUGAGCUGAAGUCAGGCACUUAAGCCACCCAGCUGAACCACCCAGGCGCCUCCAGC